This 442-nucleotide ribosomal RNA is filed under the name uncultured bacterium. RNAcentral's name for it is "partial 16S ribosomal RNA". It matches the Rfam family "Bacterial small subunit ribosomal RNA", at positions 338 to 795 of the family's 1533-position model. The record is from RNAcentral.
CCUACGGGAGGCAGCAGUGGGGAAUAUUGGACAAUGGGGGAAACUCUGAUGCAGCGACGCCGCGUGGGGGAAGAAGUAUUUCGGUAUGGAAAGCCCUUUCUGCAGGGAAGAAAAAUUGCCCGUGCCUGAGUGAGAGGCACCAGCUAAAUACGUGCCAGCAGCCGCGGGAAUACGGAUGGUGCAAGAGUUAUCCGGAUUUACAGGGUGUACAGGGAUGGCAGGCGGCAUGGGAAGCCUGUUGUGAAAGCCAGCGGCCCAACCGGGAGAUUGCAGUGGAAACUAUCGGGCUUGAGUGCAGGAGAGGUAGGCGGAAUUCCUGGUGUAGCGGUGAAAUGCGUAGAGAUUAGGAGGAACACCAGGGGCGAAGGCGGCGUACUGGACGGUGACUGACGCUGAGGCUCGAAAGCGUGGGGAGCAAACAGGAUUAGAUACCCCUGUAGUC